RNAcentral lists this unclassified non-coding RNA (191 nucleotides) under plant metagenome. Its description in RNAcentral is "partial contains small subunit ribosomal RNA and internal transcribed spacer 1". The stretch from base 1 to 46 matches the Rfam family "Eukaryotic small subunit ribosomal RNA", at positions 1786 to 1831 of the family's 1831-position model. The record is from RNAcentral.
AAGUCGUAACAAGGUUUCCGUAGGUGAACCUGCGGAAGGAUCAUUAAAGAAUUCGGCUUCGCGGCCAAGUUCUCACCCUUUGUAUACCGAAACUAUGUUGCUUUUGACAGGGCCCCCUGCAUUUUCUCGGGCCUGCCCAAGGUUUAAGCCCCUAGAAUCUCUGCUGUCUGAGUACUAUGCAAUAGUUAAAA